RNA transcript from Camelus dromedarius (Arabian camel), 738 nucleotides. It is a transcript of the gene named KLF transcription factor 7, with no coding region annotated. The transcript has 6 exons. NCBI's taxonomy places the organism in Eukaryota, Metazoa, Chordata, Mammalia, Artiodactyla, Camelidae. The record is from RefSeq and is a predicted model, not a curated record.
ACCGCGUAUCGGCGGAUAAAACCGGCGGCGGAAAUUUGUAGGAAGAAGUGGGGUUUGUGUGUGGCCCAGUGGGGAAUUCCCGAGGGGUGUCGACGCUUGAUGGAAACCCCCGCGCGGGCUGCCCUUGAGGCGCCUGAAUCAUGGUGGGUCCACCAAACUAUUGCCUUCUUGUGGGGCCUGAUUUCAGCAUGACUGCGCUCUCUGCCAUCUCUGCCUCAGUUCCAUAUAGCCUGAACGAGGUGAGGACCUCUUUGAAGCUUUCUGAUCUCCCCACCUUCCAGAGUCAGAACUGAAGAACUGAUCAACAAGAUUCUGGUUGCUUUUAAUUUCUAUUUUGUGGACCAAAUGCUUCUUCAGCUGUACAACCAUGAUACCUAAUUGACCUGUGCAAGAUCAAACUGCCUCUUUGCUCCUGUGGGAUGGAUGGAUCUUGGGCAGCUGGUCCUUGCUGGUGCCUAUUUGGCUUGCUCCUGCCCUAGGACCUUUGUGUUAGCUGGGUCCUCUGCCUGGAAUGCCCUUGCUCAGAUCUCCACGUGGGUGGCUCUGAUCAACAGUCUCAGUUCCAAGUUCACCUUCUCAGAGAGGCCUUUCUGAACCAUGAUAUCUAAGGCACACUCCAACCUCAAAGCUCUGCUUUUCCCUCUGGCUGGAGCACCUUUCCCCCAAGAGCUGCAUGGCCACUCCUACAACUCCUCUGGGUCUUUGCUCACAAGUCUCCUUCCUGGUGAGUCUUCCCUA